Molecule: long non-coding RNA, 274 nt
Organism: Sinocyclocheilus rhinocerous
Lineage: Eukaryota; Metazoa; Chordata; Actinopteri; Cypriniformes; Cyprinidae
Exons: 3
Source: RefSeq, a predicted model, not a curated record
AAAAUCGUGCAGUGUGAACUCGGCAUAACGCUCUCUCUCGGUAUCGCGAGAUUUCAUAAUCUUCCUCGCCGUGUGGGCGUUAACGCUGGAAGGUGUGCUUUAUGGCGGUGGCUGUUUCAGCGGUAAAUACUGUAUUGAACUGUAAAAGCUCCCCAUAUAUAAUCUCACAAGACACCCCAGCGGAGAGCAGGUGCUAGGGAGGCGAGGCUCUGAUGAUGGAGAAUGGACAGAGCAUGGCCUCGAAGCUCGGCCUGCCGCCCCUCACCCCGGAACA